UACUGCUCACCAGGGUGAAAUCAUGGACCUGAACACAAAGGAACAACCCACCUCCCCAAAAAACCAGGGAGUAAAAGCUCGGUCCAAAUCCACUGAGGAGAUCCAGCCUGCCAAGAAGGCCUUCCACACUCCCCAGAAGUCCUUACCAAACCAGAUGGAUGCAGAUGAGUCCAAGGGUUCCUGUCCUGUACCAGCACCAAAUACUGCUCAACAGCAGCAGACCUGAGGAGAAGGUCAUGGUUGCAAGGAGUGGAGUUGUGACCAUUCCUUGUGCUACUC
Euleptes europaea (tarantolino) is the source of this 279-nucleotide long non-coding RNA. RefSeq lists it as uncharacterized. The record is from RefSeq and is a predicted model, not a curated record. The transcript is spliced from 4 exons. Lineage: Eukaryota; Metazoa; Chordata; Lepidosauria; Squamata; Sphaerodactylidae.